This 252-nucleotide ribosomal RNA is filed under the name uncultured bacterium. Its description in RNAcentral is "partial 16S ribosomal RNA". It matches the Rfam family "Bacterial small subunit ribosomal RNA", at positions 524 to 775 of the family's 1533-position model. The record is from RNAcentral.
UACAGAGGGUGCAAGCGUUAAUCGGAGUUACUGGGCGUAAAGGGCGCGUAGGCGGUUAGAUGUGUGAGAUGUGAAAUCCCUGGGCUUAACCUAGGAACUGCAUCUUAAACUGUCUGACUGGAGUACUGUAGAGGGUAGUGGAAUUUCCGGUGUAGCGGUGAAAUGCGUAGAGAUCGGAAGGAACACCAGUGGCGAAGGCGGCUACCUGGACAGAUACUGACGCUGAGGCGCGAGAGCGUGGGGAGCAAACAG